RNAcentral lists this unclassified non-coding RNA (476 nucleotides) under Hevea brasiliensis (rubber tree). Lineage: Eukaryota; Viridiplantae; Streptophyta; Magnoliopsida; Malpighiales; Euphorbiaceae. The record is from RNAcentral.
AGACCUAAAAGAUCAAGAAGAGAAGAUGACCCUGAUGUUAAGAAGAUGCUGAUGAUGAGUAUUAGAGGAAGAAAAAUUGACUAGUGAGCCAUGGCAACUGGAGCUUGAUAGUUGAUGCUUCUCUGGUGAGGCAUGGCAAGCAUAGUAGUGUGAUCCAAGAAAUCAUUUAGAGAAAUCACAGACUGUAAUAUUGUUCUUAAAUCAUCUGCACAAGAAAACCUCAUGUUUCCUAUCCGUCGCACUGCAUAUACAUAGAAGGUGAUGCAUCCUUUUCUGAACUUAAACCUUGCCAUUUCAGACCCAGUUAGGCCUCUAAUAAGCUUCUUGUUCACUUCUCCAAGAGGUACCUCUUGUGGCCAUAUUCUGUCUACAGCCAACUUCAUAGACUCGGAUUCAAAAACAAACACUAGUAUUUUGGAUUUCUUGGUGCCAAGACCAAGUGUUAGAGUAUGCCAAGCUUGAUGGGCUAAGAUCGU